This 64-nucleotide transfer RNA is filed under the name Hermissenda emurai. Its description in RNAcentral is "tRNA-Met". The record is from RNAcentral. Lineage: Eukaryota; Metazoa; Mollusca; Gastropoda; Nudibranchia; Glaucidae.
UAAGCAGGUAAGCUAAAUUUAAGCUAUUGGGCUCAUAACCCAACAAUGGGGAACCUCUGCUUAA